This 1325-nucleotide ribosomal RNA is filed under the name metagenome. RNAcentral's name for it is "bacterial LSU rRNA". It matches the Rfam family "Bacterial large subunit ribosomal RNA", at positions 1612 to 2925 of the family's 2925-position model. The record is from RNAcentral.
AAAAAGCCUCUAAGCUUCAGUUACAGAGAGACCGUACCGCAAACCGACACAGGUGGGCAGGAUGAGAAUUCUAAGGCGCUUGAGAGAACUCAGGAGAAGGAACUCGGCAAAUUAGCACCGUAACUUCGGGAGAAGGUGCGCCCUGGUAGGUUGUAGUCCCUCGCGGACGAAGGCCGAAAGGGUUGCAGUGAAAUGGUGGCUGCGACUGUUUAAUAAAAACACAGCACUCUGCAAACACGAAAGUGGACGUAUAGGGUGUGACGCCUGCCCGGUGCCGGAAGGUUAAGUGAUGGGGUGCAAGCUCUUGAUCGAAGCCCCGGUAAACGGCGGCCGUAACGAUAACGGUCCUAAGGUAGCGAAAUUCCUUGCCGGGUAAGUUCUGACCUGCACGAAUGGCGUAACGAUGGCCACGCUGUCUCCUCCUGAGACUCAGCGAAGUUGAAAUGUUUGUGAAGAUGCAAUCUCCCCGCGGCAAGACGGAAAGACCCCAUGAACCUUUACUGUAGCUUUGCAUUGGACUUUGAACCGAUCUGUGUAGGAUAGGUGGGAGGCUAUGAAACCGGGACGCUAGUUCCGGUGGAGCCAACCUCGAAAUACCACCCUGGUUUGUUUGAGGUUCUAACCAUGGCCCGUGAAUCCGGGUCUGGGACCGUGCAUGGUAGGCAGUUUGACUGGGGCGGUCUCCUCCCAAAAGGUAACGGAGGAGUACGAAGGUACGCUAGGUACGGUCGGACAUCGUGCUAAUAGUGCAAUGGCAUAAGCGUGCUUGACUGCGAGACCCACAAGUCGAGCAGGUACGAAAGUAGGUCAUAGUGAUCCGGUGGUUCUGUAUGGAAGGGCCAUCGCUCAACGGAUAAAAGGUACUCUGGGGAUAACAGGCUGAUACCGCCCAAGAGUUCAUAUCGACGGCGGUGUUUGGCACCUCGAUGUCGGCUCAUCACAUCCUGGGGCUGUAGCCGGUCCCAAGGGUAUGGCUGUUCGCCAUUUAAAGUGGUACGUGAGCUGGGUUUAAAACGUCGUGAGACAGUUUGGUCCCUAUCUGCCGUGGGCGCUGGAAAUUUGAAGGGACCUGCUCCUAGUACGAGAGGACCGGAGUGGACGAACCUCUGGUGUACCGGUUAUGACGCCAGUCGUAUCGCCGGGUAGCUAAGUUCGGAAGAGAUAAACGCUGAAAGCAUCUAAGCGUGAAACUCGCCUUAAGAUAAGAUUUCCCCGGGGCCUCGAGCCCCCUGAAGGGUCGUCGAAGACCACGACGUUGAUAGGCUGGGUGUGGAAGCGCAGUAAUGCGUUAAGCUAACCAGUACUAAUUGCCCGUGCGGCUUGCU